AACAACUUUCUGAAGUUGUUAAGUUAAACCAAAACCUUCUUCAUAUUAUAAAUGUUCUUUUCAUGUAAAUACAACUUUCAAAUAUCAUAACACAUGAGUAUGACAUGGUCUUAAGCAAUGUCAAGCUUAAAAUAACAAGUUGUCAAUUUAGGCCAUUCCCCAUAUUUCCAUAUUAAAUUGCAUAUAAAUGAAAUGGGAGAUGGAAAUAUGCUUGUUUUUGCUCACAGUGGCGGAUACAGAAUUUUUCAUAAGUGGGGGUCCACUGACUGCCUAAGAAGGGGCCUGCUCCAGUUAUGCUUCAGUGAUUCCCUAAAUAAUCAACCAAUAUUUUUACAGAAAAGGGGGGACCCGGGCCCCCUUAAUCCGCCUCUGGCUCAAAUCCUUGCUGAGAUAUGAUCAAAUAUGAAGCCUGGAUGUAAAAAGACCUGCUUUCAACUAUAUAUGUAGACAGUAUGGUUUGAUGCAAAGUUUAUUCACUUUACUGUUUAAAACCUGCAUGAAAUUUCAGCCUGAAAAAGCCAAUAUUUUAACCACCAGCCAUUCAACAGAAGAAAAUAAAGGUAUUCUGUGAAACAGACAAGUUUAAACAACCAGUAAUAAGUGCUUUUGAUAUAGAUUCAGUGCAAUCUGUUUAAAG
This 637-nucleotide long non-coding RNA is filed under the name Mytilus galloprovincialis (Mediterranean mussel). Lineage: Eukaryota; Metazoa; Mollusca; Bivalvia; Mytilida; Mytilidae. The record is from RNAcentral.